GGAGUAAAUUAUACAGUCGCAUGCGUAAGCAUGAGGAAAGUCCGUGCUCCGCAGAGCAGGGUGCCGGGUAACACCCGGUGAGGGUGACCUCAAGGAUAGUGCAACAGAAAUAAACCGCCGUCAAACGGCAAGGAUGGAAAGGUGAGGUAAGAGCUCACCAGCGGUUAGGCGACUAAUCGGCUAUGUAAACCCCACCCGGAGCAAGACCAAGAACGGACCGCAGAGUGGCUGCUCGUCACAGUCCUAAUGGUAGGUCGCUGGAGCCUGUCGGCAACGCCAGGCGUAGAUAGAUGACUGUUUAAUACAGAACACGGCUUAUGUAUUUACUCUCUAC
This 334-nucleotide RNase P RNA is filed under the name Clostridiales bacterium. Its description in RNAcentral is "RNase P RNA component class A". It matches the Rfam family "Bacterial RNase P class A". From Rfam's summary of the family: Ribonuclease P (RNase P) is a ubiquitous endoribonuclease, found in archaea, bacteria and eukarya as well as chloroplasts and mitochondria. Its best characterised activity is the generation of mature 5'-ends of tRNAs by cleaving the 5'-leader elements of precursor-tRNAs. Lineage: Bacteria; Bacillati; Bacillota; Clostridia; Eubacteriales. The record is from RNAcentral.